GAACGGUAAGUUGAAUAGCAAUAUUUGACCUAGAGUGACGUACGGGUGCGUAACACGUAUGCAACCUACCCUUUACAGGAGGAUAGCUCGGGGAAACUCGAAUUAACCCUCCAUGAGAUCAUAGAGUAGCAUUACUUAGUGAUUAAAACUCAGGUGGUAAAGGAUGGGCAUGCGUCUGAUUAGUUAGUUGGCGGGGUAACGGCCCACCAAGACGAUGAUCAGUAGGGGAACUGAGAGGUUGAUCCCCCACACUGGCACUGAGAUACGGGCCAGACUCCUACGGGAGGCAGCAGUAGGGAAUAUUGGUCAAUGGAUGCAAGUCUGAACCAGCCAUGCCGCGUGCAGGAAGAAGGCCUUCUGGGUUGUAAACUGCUUUUGCCAGGGGAUAAAAUUUCCUUGCGAGGAAAAUUGAAGGUACCUGGUGAAUAAGCCACGGCUAACUACGUGCCAGCAGCCGCGGUAAUACGUAGGUGGCAAGCGUUGUCCGGAUUUAUUGGGUUUAAAGGGUGCGUAGGCGGUUUUGUAAGUCAGUGGUGAAAUAUAGCAGCUUAACUGUUAGGGUGCCAUUGAUACUGCAGAACUUGAGUACAGAUGAGGUAGGCGGAAUUGACGGUGUAGCGGUGAAAUGCUUAGAUAUCGUCAAGAACACCUAUAGCGAAGGCAGCUUACUAGGCUGUAACUGACGCUGAGGCACGAAAGUGUGGGGAUCAAACAGGAUUAGAUACCCUGGUAGU
Molecule: ribosomal RNA, 734 nt
Filed under: uncultured bacterium
Lineage: Bacteria
Description: bacterial SSU rRNA
Rfam family: Bacterial small subunit ribosomal RNA
Source: RNAcentral